This 79-nucleotide microRNA precursor is filed under the name Medicago truncatula (barrel medic). RNAcentral describes it as "MIR5269 microRNA precursor family". It matches the Rfam family "MIR5269 microRNA precursor family". Lineage: Eukaryota; Viridiplantae; Streptophyta; Magnoliopsida; Fabales; Fabaceae. The record is from Rfam by way of RNAcentral.
UUGAAUUAAAUCAUUGUGGAUCUACAUUUUGAAAAUUGAACUCACAAAAAGUGAUAUGACAUACAUUGAUUUUAUCUAA